GACGAACGCUGGCGGCGUGCUUCAUACAUGCAAGUCGAACGAGAACCGAUAGCUUGCUAUCGGGGAAAGUGGCGGACGGGUGAGUAAUAUGUGGGUAACCUGCCCAAGAGACUGGGAUAACACCUGGAAACAGAUGCUAAUACCGGAUAACAACACUAGACGCAUGUCUAGAGUUUGAAAGAUGGUUCUGCUAUCACUCUUGGAUGGACCUGCGGUGCAUUAGCUAGUUGGUAAAGGUAACGGCUUACCAAGGCAAAUGAAUGCAUAGCCGAGUUGAGAGACUGAUCGGCCACAUUGGGACUGAGACACGGCCCAA
This 316-nucleotide ribosomal RNA is filed under the name uncultured bacterium. RNAcentral describes it as "bacterial SSU rRNA". It matches the Rfam family "Bacterial small subunit ribosomal RNA", at positions 28 to 334 of the family's 1533-position model. The record is from RNAcentral.